UCUAGUCAGCCUCUGAGGUGUGGGUGGGCCUGAGAUCUGUCCUCUAGACUACCGAUCUAGUCUAAAAUGCCCGAGGAACUCUUGGACUGGCCUCCGCUUCUUCAGGGUCUCACAUUCAUCUGACAUAGAAUAGGCAGGUUAUAAGAAAGACGAAUUAUUUGCAGAGAACAAUUUCCCUAUGCCAGGAGAAGAAGGUGACAGAGAUAAAUGACCAGAGCUGCUUUUAAGACUCUUAGUCGCUCGCUUUCCUUUCCAGGGGAGAGCCAUUUCCAGAGUGUCUUCCUCUUAAGAUGCAGGUUUCUCAGCUUAUCUUCUCCCCAGAUGGCUGUAUAAGCCAGAUGAUGGCUAUGUUAACACCCUAGAAAAAAGUGUGAAUACACGGAAGAUUUAAGGGCCUUCCUGGGUUAAUAAGGACUCUUCCUGCACCCGUCUUCCCUGCCCAGCUCAGAUGGUUUCAGCUUCUAAAUCAGGUUAUCUCUCCAGUCUGCAUUCCCAGUAACUGAAUUAUCUUUGCGAAAUAAACGGCCGGCAUGGAAAUGGCACCCAGGCCGGGAUCAAGAUCUGUGGAGUGGCAUGCGUGAGGCGAAGGGGAGCAAAGGGCGAUGCAGUCUCCCCCCUCAGCCUUCUCUGCCUCCUCCCACCAACCCCCGACCUGCAGUAGUCAGCAGCCUGGCAUUAUGGGCUGGGCGGGCCAGGGAAACCUGCUGUUUGCCAGCAACUGUCAAUCUUCCAUCAAUUCCUGAAGCACCUUGGGAGGGGACAGCUCUGAAAAGGCUGUUUCCUAAGCCCAGGAGCUGGGAGUCGCAGGUUUCCGGUGAGACCUGAGGACCAGUCCUUUAACAAGCUGUCCAGGGAGGAGGUGAACCUGAGGAAUGCAGAUUUAGACAAGACGGCUUACAAGCUCAUUAAAGUUCUUUUCUUUACAGACUGGAGUAGAGUCACAAUACCUUGAAAACAGAACUUCUACAAA
Non-coding RNA from Odocoileus virginianus texanus, 970 nucleotides. Lineage: Eukaryota; Metazoa; Chordata; Mammalia; Artiodactyla; Cervidae. The record is from RefSeq and is a predicted model, not a curated record.